UAGAAAAAUAGCGGUGUUGUGGAAAGAAUGAAGACACAUGUUGCUAUUGCUAUUUUUGGCAGGAUAACUAGUUAGGACAAACGGAUGCACGCUAUAGUCAGGUCCGAAAAAGCGUUUUUCAGUUUGCUCAUCUUUAUUGGAAAGAAACGCCUUGCUCAUCUUUAUUGGAAAGAAACGCCCCUUGACCUCAGGUCCGAAAAAGCGAUUUCCAGUUUGCUCAACAGAAAUUAAAAGUAGAGCUCGGUACAGCACACAGUUCCGUCCUUAGUAUAAGGAAACGUGCAUCGGACCCGCCGGCGCUGGUGCAUGUCGUCAU
RNAcentral lists this long non-coding RNA (316 nucleotides) under Oryza brachyantha (malo sina). Its description in RNAcentral is "long non-coding RNA (OBRA_LNC002316)". Lineage: Eukaryota; Viridiplantae; Streptophyta; Magnoliopsida; Poales; Poaceae. The record is from RNAcentral.